CCUACGGGAGGCAGCAGUAGGGAAUAUUGCUCAAUGGGGGAAACCCUGACGCAGCAACGCCGCGUGGGGGAUGAAGGUUUUCGGAUCGUAAACCUCUAUCGGCAGGGAAGAAAAUGACGGUAUCUAACGAAUAAUCCCCGGCCAACUCCGUGCCAGCAGCCGCGGUAAUACGGAGGGUGAAAGCGUUAGUCGGAAUUACUGGGCGGAAAGAGAGCGUAGGCGGGAGAGCAAGUCAGGUGUGAAAUCCCAUGGCUUAACCAUGGAACUGCAUUUGAAACUGUGAAACUAGAGUGUGGGAGAGGUGAGUGGAAUUCUAGGUGUAGGAGUGAAAUCCGUAGAGAUCAGGAGGAAUACCAGUGGCGAAGGCGACCUGCUGGAACAUAACUGACGCUGAGGCGCGAAAGCGUGGGGAGCAAACAGGAUUAGAUACCCGAGUAGUC
This 440-nucleotide ribosomal RNA is filed under the name uncultured bacterium. RNAcentral describes it as "partial 16S ribosomal RNA". It matches the Rfam family "Bacterial small subunit ribosomal RNA", at positions 338 to 795 of the family's 1533-position model. The record is from RNAcentral.